Molecule: long non-coding RNA, 363 nt
Filed under: Mustela putorius furo (domestic ferret)
Lineage: Eukaryota; Metazoa; Chordata; Mammalia; Carnivora; Mustelidae
Description: lncRNA (ENSMPUG00000028548.1)
Source: RNAcentral
AUAAGACCAUGGGACACACCAGGAUGAAUCUUGAGCCAGUUCAUCUACUUCUUACAACAUUACUGACCCCACUGCAAAAGGAAAUGAGUGUGGCUGAGGAAACUUUCUUUGUUUUCUUAUAUUCCUGGAUGCCUGAGAAGACAUGUACACCAGGUCACAAUCCUCAACAAAGACCUCCAAACCCCAAGAAAGGUGAGACUCCCUCCGUUCUUUUAUGAGUCUCCUGGGCACUGUGUCUGCACCUACACUCUCUCUCUACUUUCAGUAAACUCUGCCUUCACCUCCUACUGGUUCGCAUUUAUCUUUGUCCUGCACGCAGGCACGGACCCCCUGGGCUGGUCCUGUGGGACCCCCUCUGCAUUC